GAUGAACGCUGGCGGCGUGCCUAAUACAUGCAAGUCGAGCGAAUGGAUUAAGAGCUUGCUCUUAUGAAGUUAGCGGCGGACGGGUGAGUAACACGUGGGUAACCUGCCCAUAAGACUGGGAUAACUCCGGGAAACCGGGGCUAAUACCGGAUAACAUUUUGAACCGCAUGGUUCGAAAUUGAAAGGCGGCUUCGGCUGUCACUUAUGGAUGGACCCGCGUCGCAUUAGCUAGUUGGUGAGGUAACGGCUCACCAAGGCAACGAUGCGUAGCCGACCUGAGGAGGUGAGCGGCCACACUGGGACUGAGACACGGCCCAGACUCCUACGGGAGGCAGCAGUAGGGAAUCUUCCGCAGUGGACGAAAGUCUGACGGAGCAACGCCGCGUGAGUGAUGAAGGCUUUCGGGUCGUAAAACUCUGUUGUUAGGGAAGAACAAGUGCUAGUUGAAUAAGCUGGCACCUUGACGGUACCUAACCAGAAAGCCACGGCUAACUACGUGCCAGCCGCCGCAGUAA
RNAcentral lists this ribosomal RNA (515 nucleotides) under uncultured bacterium. Its description in RNAcentral is "partial 16S ribosomal RNA". It matches the Rfam family "Bacterial small subunit ribosomal RNA", at positions 28 to 523 of the family's 1533-position model. The record is from RNAcentral.